UACGUAGGGAGCGAGCGUUGUCCGGAAUCAUUGGGCGUAAAGAGCGUGUAGGCGGUUCGGUAAGUCGGCUGUGAAAGUCCAGGGCUCAACCCUGGGAUGCCGGUCGAUACUGCCGGACUAGAGUUCGGAAGAGGCGAGUGGAAUUCCCGGUGUAGCGGUGAAAUGCGCAGAUAUCGGGAGGAACACCUAUGGCGAAGGCAGCUCGCUGGGACGUUACUGACGCUGAGACGCGAAAGCGUGGGGAGCAAACAGG
Molecule: ribosomal RNA, 253 nt
Filed under: uncultured bacterium
Lineage: Bacteria
Description: partial 16S ribosomal RNA
Rfam family: Bacterial small subunit ribosomal RNA
Source: RNAcentral